RNAcentral lists this ribosomal RNA (485 nucleotides) under uncultured bacterium. RNAcentral describes it as "partial 16S ribosomal RNA". It matches the Rfam family "Bacterial small subunit ribosomal RNA", at positions 29 to 506 of the family's 1533-position model. The record is from RNAcentral.
AUUGAACGCUGGCGGCAUGCCUUACACAUGCAAGUCGAACGGCAGCACGGGUGCUUGCCCCUGGUGGCGAGUGGCGAACGGGUGAGUAAUACAUCGGAACAUGUCCUGUAGUGGGGGAUAGCCCGGCGAAAGCCGGAUUAAUACCGCAUACGAUCUACGGAUGAAAGCGGGGGACCUUCUGGCCUCGCGCUAUAGGGUUGGCCGAUGGCUGAUUAGCUCGUUGGUGGGGUAAAGGCCUACCAAGGCGACGAUCAGUAGCUGGUCUGAGAGGACGACCAGCCACACUGGGACUGAGACACGGCCCAGACUCCUACGGGAGGCAGCAGUGGGGAAUUUUGGACAAUGGGCGAAAGCCUGAUCCGGCAAUGCCGCGUGGGUGAAGAAGGCCUUCGGGUGGUAAAGCACUUUUGUCCGGAAAGAAAUCCUUGGCACUAAGACGGUCGGGGGAUGACGGUACCGGAAGAAGAAGCACCGGCUAACUACGU